UUUUUAAUUAGUGGGUUAAGGAAGGGUUAAACGGAGCUAAAUCUGCAUAGCACUUUACACCUUAGCUGGCCUUCUCUUCUAGAUCCUGCAAAAGGAACAAUGACCUUCAUUGCAUAGAGCUCUGCUAGGCUGCUUCACUGGGUCCUCAGACAGAUCAUCUGCAAACAAUGAGAAAGUCCAAGCACCUGUUUAAUGCUGAAUGGAAACAGCAGCAGAAAGAUACAGAAGCAAGUUGCCGAUGUCUGAUGGAAGGCUCCUUAGGAGGAGGGAAUGAGAACAUAACAGAGGUGGAAACCUGCCUAUAUACAAGGUAAUGCCUCUUCCAUGCUGAUGCAAGGGUCAAAACAGCUACAGAUGUGAAAACUUGGUUGUUGGAGCUCAGGGAUUUGGGGUACAUCCCAUUUGAUGGUAUACAGUGGAAGCUGAGUUCAUCUUGUCAUGCCAAAGGUUUCAGCCUGGGAAAGUUCACUACGGACUCAGUGAGACCAAGAAAUGACAAUGAAAUGUUCUUAGGGUGAAAGGGUUAUACCCAGCUUUAUUCUCAUGGCUGUAGGUCGAGCACUGGAAUCACGUCUGCAUCCAGCAGUCUACAGGUCUGUAAUCCACCUCCUCUCUGCCUCCGUGCAGAGCAGUAGGCCAAUUAUAUUAUCAGGUAGUUCAGAGUCAGGUGAGGAUCUUGGCCAUAGAAACUUCAAUUUUCCCCACAAUCUGCUAAAAAUAACAGGGGAGGGAGUUGGGAUUUUUAAAAAGUAAUGAGGUUUAAAAUAGGUUUUGUGGAGAAUAGGAGAGAAAGCUAAGAGGCUCUAAGAAGGAUGCAGUAUUGAGGGCCCAGCAAAAGUUAGAGACAGACACUCUACUUGAGGCACCUGUCAGCAAUGGACUGAAUUUCUUGAGCCACACUCAGGAUACCAGAUGUUUGUCAUCACUGUGUGAGGAAAAUGGAAAAGCCUGUGGCCAGGAUCCUCACCUGAACCUAAACUACUUGAUGUAACUGGCCUGCUGCUAGGCUACUGCUUCCACACCCGUAGGCAAUGAGCUAUUACUGACUGAGUCACUAUAUAAAGAGCUCUUCCCAGAGCUCUGAGCAGAAGCAGAGAUGGAGGAGGGUUACAGGCCUGCAGACUGUUGGACUCAGAUGUGAGUCUAGUGCCCCACCUACCGACCUACCUACCAUUGUGGGAAUAAAGCCAGGUAUAAACCCUUUUACCCUAAGAACUGUUCUAUUGUCAUUUCUAGGUCUCACUGAAUCCUUAGUGAACUUGCCUGGGGGUGAAACCCUCAGGCAAGACACACUGUGUCUACAAGACACAAUUUUUAAAGAGUUUAAAGGAAAUGAGAAUUCAUCAUCUUUUACUUGUGCUCUAUUGGUUUGGUGGUCUUCAGGUCUAAUAACCACCUUUUAGGAAUCUUUCAGUGAAAGAUCUGGGAACUUGCCUUGAUUAAUACCUUAUUUAAUCCUGUUUUCUUCCACCCUACCCCACAACAUCUUGACCUGUAAAUACUGGUCUUGUGUACUGAUACUCUUACCCCAGCCAGGUGGCUUUCAGCCAGAUUUGUUUGUGGGAUUUUCCUCGCAACAGCCACCAAACUCACGAUGUGGAGCAGCUUUCAUGGGACACUGUAGUCUCCUAGCCCAGUAGGAUCAAUCUCAGAGUGCUGGGUGUGUUUCCAGUAUCCUGAGCUUUGCCAGUCCCUAAAUCAAUCUCAUUUAUGCCUUUCUCUGGGUGAUGACUACUAGAAAGGUGAUUAUCAAUUGAAAAGUGACAAUAAUAUCCACAAUCCUCCUGGCUUGACAUCAACAAUCCUCAGGGAAAUGCAGAUUAAAACUACAAAGAGAUACCACUAUUUGCCUAUCAGAAUGGCUAAAACAAACAUUUAAAAUAUGGACUUAAAAUAUAAAUAUAGAUUGAGGUCAGUGAUAAGAAAGAUUAUUCACUUAUAGUUCCCAAGCAGGAAAUGCAAUUCAUAAAAUCUGCCAUAAUCCCAGACCUCAGAAACUCCCGAGUGCCUUCUGAGACGGUAGUCCCGUGGAGAUGUAGCCAGUGUGGUUAAUUUGUCACUGAAGAACGGAAGAAAAAGCCCAUUCUUCCCAGGAAAUGGCCCACUGUAUUUAAACCAAUUAUGGAA
Molecule: long non-coding RNA, 2127 nt
Organism: Manis pentadactyla (Chinese pangolin)
Lineage: Eukaryota; Metazoa; Chordata; Mammalia; Pholidota; Manidae
Exons: 3
Source: RefSeq, a predicted model, not a curated record